RNAcentral lists this ribosomal RNA (497 nucleotides) under uncultured bacterium. Its description in RNAcentral is "partial 16S ribosomal RNA". It matches the Rfam family "Bacterial small subunit ribosomal RNA", at positions 28 to 507 of the family's 1533-position model. The record is from RNAcentral.
GAUGAACGCUGGCGGCGUGCCUAAUACAUGCAAGUCGAGCGAACGGACGAGGAGCUUGCUGCUCUGAUGUUAGCGGCGGACGGGUGAGUAACACGUGGAUAACCUACCUAUAAGACUGGGAUAACUUCGGGAAACCGGAGCUAAUCCCGGAUAAUAUUUUGAACCGCAUGGUUCAAAAGUGAAAGACGGUCUUGCUGUCACUUCUAGAUGGAUCCGCGCUGCAUUAGCUAGUUGGUAAGGUAACGGCUUACCAAGGCUACGAUGCAUAGCCGACCUGAGAGGGUGAUCGGCCACCUUGGAACUGAGACACGGUCCAGACUCCUACGGGAGGCAGCAGUAGGGAAUCGUCCGCAAUGGGCGGAAGCCUGACGGAGCAACGCCGCGUGAGUGAUGAAGGUCUUCGGAUCGUAAAACUCUGUUAUUAGGGAAGAACAUAUGUGUAAGGAACUGUGCACAGCUUGACGGUACCUAAUCAGAAAGCAACGGCUAACUACGUG